RNAcentral lists this ribosomal RNA (258 nucleotides) under uncultured bacterium. RNAcentral describes it as "partial 16S ribosomal RNA". It matches the Rfam family "Bacterial small subunit ribosomal RNA", at positions 524 to 778 of the family's 1533-position model. The record is from RNAcentral.
UACGUAGGGUGCGAGCGUUAAUCGGAAUUACUGGGCGUAAAGCGUGCGCAGGCGGUUUUGUAAGCCAGAUGUGAAAUCCCCGGGCUCAACCUGGGAAUGGCAUUUGGGACUGCAAGGCUGGAGUGUGGCAGAGGAGACUGGAAUUCCGUGGUGUAGCAGUGAAAUGCGUAGAUAUCAGGAGGAAUACCGAUGGCGAAGGCAGGUCUCUGGGGCUGACACUGACGCUCAUGCACGAAAGCGUGGGGGAGCAAACAGGAU